RNAcentral lists this long non-coding RNA (896 nucleotides) under Equus caballus (horse). RNAcentral describes it as "lncRNA (ENSECAG00000038414.3)". Lineage: Eukaryota; Metazoa; Chordata; Mammalia; Perissodactyla; Equidae. The record is from RNAcentral.
GAAUUGGCUUACAUGAUUAUGGAGGCUGACAAGUCUCAAGAUCUGCAGACCUAGGCGGGGCCAAUAGGUUAGUUCCAGUCCAAAGGCUGGCAGGCUCAAGACCCAGGAAGAUCUUAUGUUUCAUUUUGAGUUCAAAGGCUGGAAAAAAUCGAUGUCCCAGCUUGAAGGCCAUCAGGCAGGAGGAGUUCCUUCUUACUGAUAGGAAGGAAUAUGGACCGCCAGCAACACUGUGUCAUUGCAGUAUCCCUAUCUAAAAGUUUACAGAGACAAAGGGAUCUGAAAUCAACCAGAAUAAAAUGACCACGGAGUAGACGUGUUACAAAGAAAAAGAGAGGAAAAUCGGCAACAAUAGUGACAACAAGAACAAAAUAACAAGAAAACUCCCACAAAGACAGAAGGAAGACAAUGCAGCUAGUGAGCAAAUUAGGAAUUUGAAAGCAUCUUCUGAGAGCUUGAAUGAUGAAUGUACUGAGGUUCCUAAGGGUGAGGUGAGAAGACCCAUCCAGCAUCACAAGACCCAUUCAAGGUGAUGUGGCUAGUUUGUGCUGAAGGCAGAAGUUUCCAGAAUUCCUGACCCUCAUGCUAUGGAACAGUCCUUGUGAGAAUAUCAGAGAUGAAUGAACAAGCAGGUGGAAGUUCGGAGGAAGACACGAUUAUAGACAAAAUGAAGGCACUACAUUUUCUCUGAUAAAAAAGUCUCUCAACAUUUUUAUAUCCUGUUGGUUUUCUAGGAAACGUAGACAUGCUCUGUAGGAAAUAAUCUCAAAAUGGACGUGAUGGAUUAAAGAUGGGGAAACAUGCCCUGGAAUGCCUAAUGGCAACAUUAGUCUACGUCUACAGAUUAAUGUGGCUGCUGAAUAUAGUUUUUUUUUUUUUUUUAAAAGCACUUGGAUUCA